GAUUAAGCCAUGCAUGUCAUCAGUGCAAGCCAAAUUAAGGUGAAACCGCGAAUGGCUCAUUAAAUCAGUUAUGGUUCCUUAGAUCGUACCACGUUACUUGGAUAACUGUGGUAAUUCUAGAGCUAAUACAUGCAAACUGAGUCCCGACCAGAAAUGGAAGGGACGCUUUUAUUAGAUCAAAACCAAUCGGUCGGCUUGUCCGGUCCGUUUGCCUUGGUGACUCUGAAUAACUUUGAGCUGAUCGCACGGUCCUCGAACCGGCGACGCAUCUUUCAAAUGUCUGCCUUAUCAACUGUCGAUGGUAGGUUCUGCGCCUACCAUGGUUGUAACGGGUAACGGGGAAUCAGGGUUCGAUUCCGGAGAGGGAGCCUGAGAAACGGCUACCACAUCCAAGGAAGGCAGCAGGCGCGCAAAUUACCCACUCCCGGCACGGGGAGGUAGUGACGAAAAAUAACGAUACGGGACUCAUCCGAGGCCCCGUAAUCGGAAUGAGUACACUUUAAAUCCUUUAACGAGUAUCCAUUGGAGGGCAAGUCUGGUGCCAGCAGCCGCGGUAAUUCCAGCUCCAAUAGCGUAUAUUAAAGUUGUUGCGGUUAAAAAGCUCGUAGUUGGAUUUGUGUCCCACGCUGUCGGUUCAUCGCUCGUCGGUGUCUAACUGGCAUGAUACGUGGGACGUCCUGCCGGUGGUGGCGAGUCGAAGGCGUGCACCCGCCGCGGUUAUCCGCGUGUGGUUCUUGUGCGCCCGAGGCGAACCCCGAUGAAAUCCUACCGCGGUGCUCUUCGCCGAGUGUCGAGGUGGGCCGGCACGUUUACUUUGAACAAAUUAGAGUGCUUAAAGCAGGCCUGUUGCGCCUGAAUACUGUGUGCAUGGAAUAAUGGAAUAGGACCUCGGUUCUAUUUUGUUGGUUUUCGGAACCAGAGGUAAUGAUUAAUAGGGACAGGCGGGGGCAUUCGUAUUGCGACGUA
RNAcentral lists this ribosomal RNA (966 nucleotides) under Acanthoplus sp. MCJ-2002. RNAcentral describes it as "SSU rRNA". It matches the Rfam family "Eukaryotic small subunit ribosomal RNA", at positions 42 to 906 of the family's 1831-position model. The record is from RNAcentral. Lineage: Eukaryota; Metazoa; Arthropoda; Insecta; Orthoptera; Tettigoniidae.